Molecule: ribosomal RNA, 205 nt
Filed under: uncultured bacterium
Lineage: Bacteria
Description: partial 16S ribosomal RNA
Rfam family: Bacterial small subunit ribosomal RNA
Source: RNAcentral
CAUGUAGGCGGUUUUUUAAGUCUGGAGUGAAAAUGCGGGGCUCAACCUCGUAUGGCUCUGGAUACUGGAAGACUUGAGUGCAGGAGAGGAAAGGGGAAUUCCCAGUGUAGCGGUGAAAUGCGUAGAUAUUGGGAGGAACACCAGUGGCGAAGGCGCCUUCUGGACUGUGUCUGACGCUGAGAUGCGAAAGCCAGGGUAGCGAACG